Long non-coding RNA from Arabidopsis thaliana (thale cress), 219 nucleotides. RefSeq annotates it as other RNA. The transcript has a single exon. The record is from RefSeq. NCBI's taxonomy places the organism in Eukaryota, Viridiplantae, Streptophyta, Magnoliopsida, Brassicales, Brassicaceae.
UUCUUGGCCAUCUGCUUCACAUCUGACUCCAAUUUCUCCAGAUCUCCUUCAUCCAUGUCAAGUUCGGGAUCUGAAGCCAUUGAUUCCAUUGAGAUUCGAGGUUCUCCGAAAACUCAAGGUUCUGUAGAAGAGAUACUAUGGAGGGUUUUUUCAAAAUUGAGGAGCGUCUUUAACUCUGAAGACUGGGACUGUGUGAUAAAAUGAUAAUAACGUUAAAAG